AACACACGUCAACGCCGUUCUGAUAGUACGAACGUGCGAUGUUAUCUUUAUCACGGUCGGCUAAAAAUGUCAUGAGUCAUAACCGUCGUCGUCAGCGAUAACUGGAAAACCAAUUUGAUUAGUAGAUGCGCGGUCAUUACGCUAUAAUAUGACUACGGGAAAUAUUUUCCGUCUACAAGAAUUUGUUUUCUUUUAAUCGAAGAAGGUCUUUCGAGUUUAAAAACCUGAAAAAAUAAUUUAUAGUACAGUGCAAUAAUGUUUCAAAAAAAAACA
Non-coding RNA from Cinara cedri, 273 nucleotides. NCBI's taxonomy places the organism in Eukaryota, Metazoa, Arthropoda, Insecta, Hemiptera, Aphididae. The record is from the annotation of a GenBank genome assembly.